ACUGUUUACUUAUAUGCUUGAUACGUGCUAGUUAUGUGUAAGUUUUUACGUAAAUGCUUGUACACCAAACCUGACCUAUACCGGUAACCAUGUUAGGACGUGGUGACCAACGUGAUUGACAAGUAACCUAAACCUACCGAGCAACCCAAGGUGAGUUCACAACUUAAAAGCAUGCGUCCCGGUGGUUUGGGACACGAGACUAACAACCCUAUCCCCUGGUAACCAGUGACGAAGGAGCUUGCAGCUUGGGAAUGUGUAGUGUCUGUUCACCCUUGUGUUGGGUGUUACCUUAUUUUGAAUCAUGAACUUUGUU
Molecule: long non-coding RNA, 313 nt
Filed under: Helianthus annuus (common sunflower)
Lineage: Eukaryota; Viridiplantae; Streptophyta; Magnoliopsida; Asterales; Asteraceae
Description: hypothetical non coding rna
Source: RNAcentral